GACGAACGCUGGCGGCGUGCCUAAUACAUGCAAGUAGAACGCUGAAGGGAGGAGCUUGCUCUUCUUGGAUGAGUUGCGAACGGGUGAGUAACGCGUAGGUAACCUGCCUUGUAGCGGGGGAUAACUAUUGGAAACGAUAGCUAAUACCGCAUAACAAUGGAUGACACAUGUCAUUUAUUUGAAAGGGGCAAUUGAUGCACUACAAGAUGGAUCUGCGCUGUAUUAGCUAGUAGGUGAGGUAAUGGCUCACCUAGGCGACGAUACAUAGCCGACCUGAGAGGGUGAUCGGCCACACUGGGACUGAGACACGGCCCAGACUCCUACGGGAGGCAGCAGUAGGGAAUCUUCGGCAAUGGGGGCAACCCUGACCGAGCAACGCCGCGUGAGUGAAGAAGGUUUUCGGAUCGUAAAGCUCUGUUGUAAGUCAAGAACGGGUGUGAGAGUGGAAAGUUCACACUGUGACGGUAGCUUACCAGAAAGGGACGGCUAACUACGUG
RNAcentral lists this ribosomal RNA (497 nucleotides) under uncultured bacterium. RNAcentral's name for it is "partial 16S ribosomal RNA". It matches the Rfam family "Bacterial small subunit ribosomal RNA", at positions 28 to 507 of the family's 1533-position model. The record is from RNAcentral.